CCUACGGGUGGCAGCAGUGAGGAAUAUUGGUCAAUGGCCGUAAGGCUGAACCAGCCAAGUCGCGUGCAGGAUGACGGCCCUAUGGUUUGUAAACUUCUUUUAUAGGGGAAUAAAGGUCUCCACGUGUGGCUCUUUGCAUGUACCCUAUGAAUAAGCAUCGGCUAACUCCGUGCCAGCAGCCGCGGUAAUACGGAGGAUGCGAGCGUUAUCCGGAUUUAUUGGGUUUAAAGGGUGCGUAGGUUGUUUUUUAAGUCGGCUGUGAAAUUUCGGGGCUCAACCCGAACAUUGCCGUUGAAACUGGCUGGCUUGAGUGCGUGGGAGGUAGGCGGAAUGCGUGGUGUAGCGGUGAAAUGCUUAGAUAUCACGCAGAACUCCGAUUGCGAAGGCAGCUUACU
RNAcentral lists this ribosomal RNA (395 nucleotides) under uncultured bacterium. RNAcentral describes it as "partial 16S ribosomal RNA". It matches the Rfam family "Bacterial small subunit ribosomal RNA", at positions 338 to 730 of the family's 1533-position model. The record is from RNAcentral.